CAUUGAAAUAUGGUGGAAGAUGCUAUCAUCAAUCCACUGUUGGAUAAUCCCAAUGAUUUUAUGAUUCAAUUUCUCCCAUUCUUUAUUUGACAUCUUAUCAAACUGAACAAUAACAUCCUCGAUUGGAUCAUGAAAAUCUUAGCAGUAAAGGAGGUCUUCCAUGUAAGGAUUCCAGAUUGAGUAGUUAGUUAAUGUCAGCUUGAUCGUAGUGCCCGACGA
RNAcentral lists this long non-coding RNA (219 nucleotides) under Elaeis guineensis (African oil palm). Its description in RNAcentral is "long non-coding RNA (EGUI_LNC039666)". The record is from RNAcentral. Lineage: Eukaryota; Viridiplantae; Streptophyta; Magnoliopsida; Arecales; Arecaceae.